UGGGGAAUAUUGCACAAUGGGCGCAAGCCUGAUGCAGCCAUGCCGCGUGUGUGAAGAAGGCCUUCGGGUUGUAAAGCACUUUCAGCGAGGAGGAAGGGUUCAGUGUUAAUAGCACUGUUCAUUGACGUUACUCGCAGAAGAAGCACCGGCUAACUCCGUGCCAGCAGCCGCGGUAAUACGGAGGGUGCAAGCGUUAAUCGGAAUUACUGGGCGUAAAGCGCACGCAGGCGGUUUGUUAAGUCAGAUGUGAAAUCCCCGCGCUUAACGUGGGAACUGCAUUUGAAACUGGCAAGCUAGAGUCUUGUAGAGGGGGGUAGAAUUCCAGGUGUAGCGGU
RNAcentral lists this ribosomal RNA (335 nucleotides) under uncultured bacterium. Its description in RNAcentral is "partial 16S ribosomal RNA". It matches the Rfam family "Bacterial small subunit ribosomal RNA", at positions 355 to 682 of the family's 1533-position model. The record is from RNAcentral.